This 72-nucleotide transfer RNA is filed under the name Camelus bactrianus (Bactrian camel). It matches the Rfam family "tRNA". Rfam says of the family: Transfer RNA (tRNA) molecules are approximately 80 nucleotides in length. RNAcentral also lists the same sequence under 1 other name. The record is from Rfam by way of RNAcentral. Lineage: Eukaryota; Metazoa; Chordata; Mammalia; Artiodactyla; Camelidae.
GAGGGUAUAGCUCAGAGGUAUAGUGCGUGCGUAGCAGGCAUGAGGUCCUGGGUUCAAUCCCCAGUACUUCCA